This is a long non-coding RNA of Homo sapiens (human), 7676 nucleotides long. RefSeq lists it as uncharacterized. Lineage: Eukaryota; Metazoa; Chordata; Mammalia; Primates; Hominidae. The transcript has 2 exons. The record is from RefSeq and is a predicted model, not a curated record.
GGAUCUUGCUCUGUUGCCCAGGCUGGAGUGCAGUGGCAUGAUCACAAGUCACUGCAGCCUCGACCUCCUGGGUUCAAGUGAUCCUCCCUGAUCUGUCUCCAGAGUAAUGGGACUACAGGUAUGUGCCACCACACCCAGCUAAUUUAUUAUCAUUAUUAUUAUUUAUAGAGACAGAGUCUCACUAUGUUGCCCAGGAUGGUCUUAAAGCUUCAAGCAAUCCUGUGGCCUCAGCCUCCCAAAUAGUGGGACUGCAGGCAUGAGCCACCAUGCCUGGCCCACAUCUUGUCCUGUCUUCCUUCUCCUCUCUUCUCUUCUCCUCUCCUCUCUUUCUGUUUUUCUCUUCUCUCUCUACCUAUCUAUCUAUCCAUCCAUCCAUCCACCCAUCCAUCCAAGCAUUAAUAUCCCCUGUAAGCCUGUAAUCUAAGCCCACUGCCAGUUAUCUUUCCAGCCGCAGCUUUUUCAAGCUAGUUUCUUUCUCUCUUGCAUUGUAGCUCACCUUUCAGUGAGAGAUUUUCUACAACCUUUAGUGCAGAACUUGGCUUUUGCAGCUAUCUUCAGUUCUGAAGAGAAUCUCAGAAUUCCUUCAAGACUUAGUGAUAGUCAACCUAUAGUUCCAUAUCAAGCAAUUUAAGCACAUCUCAAAAAGCUGGUAUGGAGCAAAAAUGUGACUGUUAUUUAAUAGUUUUUAACAGGAAAUGCGGUGAGAGACAUUAUUCUAAUGGUAACUAAUGCAAAGGUGACUUACAACCCUGUUAUCCAAAAGAGGAGUUCCAUGCUGUAUGUUAUACUCCACCAGUCCCUUGAGGAUGGAAUUUUAUCUAACUGCUCUAUCUCUAGUUUUUAGGAAAGUGCCACAGAAAGUCCUCAAUAAAUAGUCUGUGAAUGAAUGAGCGCCUAUGCUCUGACUCUUAAACCAGAGCAUCUGGUUUACCUCCCACCCUUCUUACAAUAUUCAUCUUCCACAAGGAAAAGGAAAUAUCAAAAAUAAUCUAAAGUUUUUUUUCUGUUCUCUUCCUAAGCAAUUCAAUCCUAAAGCCAUUACGUGGGGCAGAGCAAAGCAGAAGUCUAGAGUGGGGAGCUGGGGGGCUGUGGUGGCCCAUGGGAUGUCAGAGUGCAAGGGGGCAUGGAAGGCGUGUUGCUAAAGAAAAUAUACUGCAAAAGGUCCCAUAAUUGUAUAAUGGCAAUAUACCCCGCAGGUGGCCGUUUACACAGAAUUUGCUGAAUCAGCAUUAUCCAUGUGACCAGUAUGAUAUUUUACUUUCAGCAGGCAUGUUCAAUAGACCCUUGAUGUUCAAUAAAUAUUCAUGAUUUUGACUAUAUGGAGCAACCUCCAAAAAUACAUUAUGUGUAAUGACUAGGAAGUUUACUGAGGCACAAACUGGAAUCGUGGCAUCGUGAGACUGGUAUACAGAGUGGAUCAUUCCACUGAUUUGUGGCCUUGGCCAACAUCUGGCAUAACAUCAUAACCUUUUGAUCAGUCAUCUUUAGCAAAUAUUCAGAGUGAGGAACUGGGGAAAAAUGCUAUUAGGCAACUGGCCAUUUUCUGACCUCAGUCCCAUCAAGGUUGCUGGAGAAAUGCUCUUCACCAGUCUUUUUUCCCAUCUCACAGCUACUUAGAUAUAAAGGUACUCUAUGUCCCAUUCAUCAGUCCUGUGGAGAGGAUGCCAAUGUUCGAGAGAGUUUUCGUCCCUGCUCUUCGGACCCUCAUUUGGGCUUCUUUUAUGUGACAAAUAGAAGGAUUAGGGGUCACAUCAGCAAAUGAUUCUGUAUUCUUGGCAUCGCUGAGGAAGCUAAGGGCACCACCAUGAUUGACAUACAGGGAAAAAACAAAAAACUCCAAUUACUGCUUAGGAGGGAGAACUAAUUCUACCCAAAGGAGGGAAGCACCAUCUGAAGCAUGUCAAACUUGGCCUGCAACCAAAUUCUGCCAUCGGGUGGAGUCUCUCCUUCCAUCUGGGUAAUAAGAAGUUGCAGAUGGAAAAAGCCUGCUGGACUACUGCAUGUACUAUAUGCCUCUUCUGUAAGAAAUCACCUUUAAAAAGAAAAGUUUCAAAGUUUAUCCAAUUUGGAUGGAGAACGGCAUUGCAAGAUAAGUAGUGGCUUUAAAGCAUGUCCAUACUUCUUUGACACUCCUCCCAUCAACAGGGGAAGUCUACUUCUUUUCCCCUUGAGCAUGAGCUAUUCAACUGGCUUGCUGCCAACAAACAGAAUGAGGAGGAAGUGAUACUGUGUGACUUCCAAGGCUAGGUCAUAAAAAAUUAUGCAGGUCUUGAGAUGCUUACUCUUGGAAGUCAGCCACCAUGCUAUAAGGAAGCCCAAGCCACAUAAAGAAGACACAUAGGUGUUCUGGCUGACAGCCCCAGCUGAGAUCUAGCCAAGAGCCAGCAUCCAGACAUAUGAGUGAGAAAGCCACUCAGCUGCCUCCAGCCCCAGCCACUAUCUGAUGGCUAAUGCAUUACAGAUCCUGAGUAAGAACUGGCCAGUUGAGCCCAUCAACUCCCAGAACCACGAGAAGAAACAAUAAUCAACUAUUGUUGUUUUACGCCACUAAGUAUGGAUGACUGUUACACAGCAAUAGCUGGAACAAAUGCUUCUGGCUAAUUUGCCCUUUACAGUAAUCACUCCAGUCGUCUUAUCUUCCAUAGAGAAAUAGUUCUGCUUAUGCUGGAGCUAAGGGCUGGCUCCCUUCAACCAGAUUACUCUCUACAACAUAGGACAAAAAUGAAUAUAAGUGCAAUGGACUCUGUAGGCCUCAGAGCUGCUGGGUUCACCUCUUAGAGGGUAAAAGGAGAGCCAUGGUCUUAGUAAAGUCCCCAGAACAGCUAAAGUUCAGUGGCCACUGAGAAUCCUACGUAGGCACUGAAAGAACAUAAUAAGCGUAUAUGAUAUCAGCACAGUCCCCAACUUGCCCUUUGACUAGAAAAGGCCCCUCUCCUGCCAUACCAGCUAAAGGUUCAACAUCUAACUCCUUAUUUGUAUUUACUCUUCAUCUAUAAUUGCCUGGCCAACAUGGUGAAACCCUGUCUCUACAAAAAACACAAAAAUCAGUUAGGUGUGGUAGUCCGUGCCUGCAGUCCCACCUACUUGGGAGACUGAGAUGGGAGGAUGGCUUGAGUCCAGGAGGUGGAGGUUGCAGUGAACAGAGAUUGUGUCACUGCACUCUAGCCUGGGCAACAGAGCGAGACCCUGUCUUAAAAAGAAAAAAAUAGAGAAAAAUAAAAUCUCACAAUCCCCAAACUAAAGGUGAAAGCAGAGCAAGCAAGACAAAAGGGACAUAUAAUGAAGGAGGACAGUGGGUGGAAAGUGGCUGUGCAAAGCACUGACAGGGCCUCCCAACUUGUUUCCGAAGCUACAAACAGGCCCUGUUGCUCAUGAAGCCAACUCCAAUAUCCUGGAGAGGCAUUUCCCACCAGACUCCCACAACCAAACAUCUCUCAGCACACUUAGAUAGGCACCCACCACUGAGCUGGUGAUUUAUUGCAACACUCUCCCUUCACUCCUCUCUGGGGACUCUCAGAGUAGGCAUUACAUCUGCCCACUUGUCAGCUAUUUCAUUCAUGUAACAAUUAUAUCAUGCUUCAAAGAAAAAAAAAUCUUUUAUUUUAGAAAGUAUGUAAUAUGAGAUGGCCACAGAGUAACAAAUGUGUCUGGUCUAAAAAGUGAUAUUGUCAAAUAGUUUAGACUCCGCAUCCUAAGAGUUUGAUAAACCUUUAUAAAAUUAGCCAGAGAGACAUGGCAAACUCAGGGAAUGGAAGUUGCAGUUCUGGUACUAGUUGUGUGAGCAGGGACUAGAACGUGUUGAUUAAGAUCUUAUGCCUGGAUCUUCUCUCAAACUAAUGGGGUCUGGGGUUUGUAGGCCUCUAAUAAGGCAAAGAAGCAGCCAAUUAGGAAAAGAAGUGAACGAACAUCUGGGCUGUCAUUCUCCCAAAUGGUCUAACACCACUUAGCCUUAUUUAGUAAGUACUUCUCCAUCACUCCAACAAUAAGGAUGUUGCUUAUCUUGCAACAAUUUCAACAGGCUUCUUCAUACAUUCACAGACAUGUGGAAUUCCUAAAUUUGCCCCAAUCACAAAAUUGUCCCAAUCAUCUUUAGGUUGCAACUCCCUGAAGUGGAAACUCCAAUUACAUAUAACUCACAGUAUAAUUUUUUUUUGUAUUGAGACAGUCUCGCUCUGUCACCAGGCUGGAAUGCAGUGGUGCGAUCUCGGCUCACUGCAACCUCCACCUCCCGGGUUCAAGUGAUUCUCCUGCUUCAGCCUCCCGAGUAGCUGGGACUACAGGCAUGCACCACCACGCCCAGCUAAUUUUUGUAUUUUUAGUAGAGAUGGGGUUUCACUAUGGCCAGGAUGGUCUCAAUCUCUUCACCUAUGAUCCGCUCGCCUUGGCCUCCCAAAGUCCUGGGAUUACAGGCAUGAGCCACCGUGCCCGGCUGAUUCCUUUUUUUUUUUUUUUUUAAACAAACAAACAAACAUGCUGGUACUGCCUUCAAACUACCCUGAUUGCUUCUCUUUCAGACAGCUGAGGCCCAAUCUAGGCCACAAUAAUAAGAAUUGUCAGCAAGUUAAAUCAAAUAAGUAAACCAUGGGCAAAUCCACAUAGUAAAUGGACUAUGGAACAAAGAAAAUAUAUCUAUGUAUCUUCUUUCUCCCAUCCUGCUUUUUGGAACAAGUCUCUUUGCUCGGGUCACAUUAAAGCAAGAUGACCAUAUAUUUCAAUUUAUCCAGGACAGGACCCCUUUUACUUUCAAAAGACUUCUGAUGUGGAUGAUACAUUAUAGAUUACCUUACAUAAAAGCAAAUUCAAACCAGCCAAAGAGGUAAAUAGAACUUUUUGAUGCUGACUAAUGGGCCCCUCAUCCAACAGGCAUUUUAUAUCUUUCCACUUUUACUCAUGAUUGCUUCUUGAAUUAAAUAAGUGGUUCUUCCCUCCUUACCACCAGUACUUAUUUAAUCCUACUUUUCUUCAGCUCAAGCACCCCCUCCUUCUGGAAGCCUUCUAAGUGUACUCUAAUCUCCACAGGUCCCUCCUUUCUUUAAAGUUCUAGCACAUGAUUUGGUGCCUCUAUGGUCUUAACACUAUUUUCAAGUUGUUUUCAUAUGUGUAGGUCUUCCUGCAAAAGUUGUAAGUUAUUCAAGGGAAAAGCCUGUGUCUAAUCACUUCCUUUAUGUGCCUUAAAGAAUCUAACUCUAGGCCGGGUGUGGUGGCUCACACCUGUAAUCCCAGCACUUUGGGAGGCUGAGGCAGGCGGAUCAUGAGGUCAGGAGAUUGAGACCAUCCUGGCUAACAUGGUAAAACCCUGUCUCUACUAAAAAAUACAAAAAAUCAGCCAGGCAUGGUGGCACGCGCCUGUAGUCCCAGCUACUCGGGAGGCUGAGGCAGGAGAAUCACUUGAACCCAGGAGGCAGAGGUUGCAGUGAGCCAAGGUCAUGCCACUGCACUCCAGCCUGGGUGACAGAGCGAGACUCCGUCUCAAAAAAUAAAAAAUAAAAUAAAAUAAAAAAGAAUCUAACUCUAUAACAAGGGCAUACCAGAUAUUCAGUAAAUACUUUCUGAUCUCCAAACCUGCCUAACCAGCUGACUUAAGAACAUACCAGGAAAACUCCAGGUGUCUCCCCACUGCUCACUCCUCUUGCAACACCCUGUACUUUCCUCUUACAACACAUAACACAUUUUGUAAUUACCUAUUGAUUUGUGUGGCUAUUUGUUUAAGGUCAGCCUCACCAUUGUAUCGUAAGGUCCAAGAGGACAGCGACCUGGUAUGUACUGUUAUUUAUCCCUGUCUACCUAUGAUUUAUCAUAGUGCCUGGCAAUGUUCAAUAAAUAUUUGCUAACUGGAGAUGAGUGAUGGGUGGACAGACAGACAAUGGAAGAAAGAACAAAUGAUCUGAGAAAAACCAUAAAAAAAGCAGGGUUAGAUUUUAGGAACUUAAACAUUUGAGAAAUUAACCUACUUACAUUUCUAAACAAAUCAUGUGGCUAUGUGUCAUAGGCCUAUUAAAACCUUUUUCUUUUCUCAGAAAGAGCUAGAGAAUAGUGAGGUGUGCAGCCCCAUCUUAUCUAGGGUCUAAGACGUAAAUGACCAUUAUAUAUGAAUGGACCAUUAUUUCUCAUUAAUAUAUAAAUUGCUAAAGUACAAAAACCAUUGUUUCAAGAUGACAGAGGAACUUUAAUUGCUCCAGUAAAUAAGUGUGAAGGCAUUUCAAGAUUAUGCUCACAAAAGCAUUUCAUGCAUCACCUCAGCUCUGAGGCACACAGGCUCUGACAGUACAGUCUACCUUAAUUGGCCCAAAGUCAGCAACAUCAUAUGUCAUGGUGCUGACAGACAGAAACUGCUGUGGCAAAAUUGGCUGUGGCAUCCUGCUGUUUUUGCAGUUAGACCAAUAUAUACUAGAAAAUGCUGAGGAAGAUAAAUGUAAAGAAAAUCAGCAUAAUUCUGGAACCCUAGACAGCCUGCUGAUUAAUUAAAAGGCUUAACGUUUCUAUAAUGUUUUAGAAUGUAAACGGACUUUCAUAUAUUCAAUCUCAUUUAAUUCUUAUAACAAUCCCAGAAAAUACAUAAAAUAGUUACUGUUUUACUGAUAUAGAAAUUUUGGAAUCAGAAUGGUAUGAACAGCAAGUGGCCAGGAUUAAAUUCACAGGUCUGCAAACCUCAUGCUGUCUUCACUAUACUUUACACAUGAACUGUACCUCUUCAGCUCUUUACCCAAAUGAUUCUUUCCUUCUCAACAGGUGGUUGUGAAAAUCAUGCCCUGAACACAAUUUAUGGGAAAUGAAAAUUCUCUGAAGGCAUUCCCCUGUUACCAGGAAGGUUGUUUGAGAUCUGCUGUCCCCUCAGAGCUGGGGAACUUUCCAGGCCCAGGUCUCAUGUUGUCACAGUUUUCUCAAAUAAAAAAUGAAGGCACAAUAGAGCCCUACCCCCAAAUACUAUAACAAACAACAAGCCAGGUACCAAAGAACACGUGUGAUUCUGAGAACUUCCUACCAUCACUGUUGCUUCUAUCUCUCCAGCUGUCUCCUAUUACUACUGCAGUUCUGGCAAUGUCUUGAACACCCAUCCAUGAUCCUACCACCUUUCACUGUCUCCCACUCUCCCAGUGCUUUCCCCCAACUUCCCUCCUUACCAACUUAAGGUCACGGUUACUCAUUAGAUCACUUCCCUGCAGAAACCUUCGGUUCCCUUGUUCCUUCAGGCUGUGUUGAACUUUCUUAACUAAAGCCCAAGCCCCUACACAAAGAUGUGUGGAGAAGGUUCAUAGCAGCAUUAUUCCUAAUAGCCAAAAAGUAUAAAUGAUUGAAAUGUCCAUCAGUUAGUGAAGGAUUAAACAAUGGAACAGUAUUCAGCAAUAAAAACAGACAACUACUGAUAAAUGCUAUAACAUGAAUGAACCUCAAAAACAGGCUGAGUGAAAGAAGCCAGACACUAAACUCCACAUAUGAUUGCACUUAUAUGAAAUGUCCAGAAAAGGCAAUCUAUAGAAGCAGAGAAUAGAUUAGCGGGAUGCCCGGAGACGGCAGUGGGAAUGAGGUAUCUUACUGCAGUGAUAAAAAUGUUUUAAAAUUGAACUGUGGCAAUGGUUAUACAACUUGGUAACAUUAGUAAUAAUCAUUUAAUUGUAUACUUUAAAUGGAUGAACUGGAUAUGUAAACUAUACUGCAAUAAAGUUUAAAAAAAAACA